RNAcentral lists this unclassified non-coding RNA (2069 nucleotides) under Hevea brasiliensis (rubber tree). The record is from RNAcentral. Lineage: Eukaryota; Viridiplantae; Streptophyta; Magnoliopsida; Malpighiales; Euphorbiaceae.
UUAUUACUUAUAUUAAUAUAAUAAAUAUUAAAAUAUAAUAUUCAUAGCAUAGCGUAGACUUUAAUAAUUGUUUUUUCCUAAACAGAAGGGAAACGGACAUCUUUUACACCACAGUCGAGACUAGAAGCCCAGGCACAUGGGCUCAUCAGUAUUAUCGUAUCCUUAAUUAUUGAAUACAUGCAGGCCUACCCCGUCCUUUCCUUCAACAGAUCUCUGUCCUUUUAUGUGUUACAUAAGUUCGCCGCCACAUCAUCACUUAGCUUUUUCAACGGCUGUGAUUGAACUAGAACUUCCAGUAAUAGAAUCAUACCUCCUAAACAUGUGGGCCACAAUCAAACACGCAGUGAGGGUCACGUAAUCCUUAGCCGCACAUUGUUUAUUUGACGCGUUUGGUGAAUCAGUCUGCGGCCCAUUUGACCAGUAUAAGUAACUCAGUAACUCUCUUCCCUUGCCCAUGAACCGGUCCGGUUUAAAACUCUCCGGUUCAUCAAAUACCUUAGGGUCUCUCAUAACCAGUGUUUGAUACCCACAAAGUAACUCGCCCUUUUUGAUGUCAUAUACCGAGUCAUGAGAACUGAGUUGAAAGUCUUUCCUGGCUCGGGCAUAUUGGAGAGGAACGGGUGGGUUGAGUCGAAAUGUCUCGUAGACCACUGAUUGAACGAGAGGCAUUUCUUUAACCGAGUCAAAAGUUAAACUCGGGCCGCCGUUUUCUCUAGCUUCUUUGCGUAGUCUUUCUUGUAACCCAGUGGUGUCGCUUGCAACUGUGCCUAUUAGAACCGGUAAAAACACAGAGAAGCCACCAAAUGCAUUGAAACCCAGUAUAAAAAGAAGGUUAUGAAUCGUUUCUUCCUCACUGAGUCCAAACUCGGACUCACCUCGCCGUAUCACUUCUUUGCCUUCUUUUCUGAUGAACUGAGCCAACUUGUUGUAAUCUCCAGAAACAAGAAAAGAAGGGUAGGCAAAAGAGUGAAGAAAGAUUUCCACGAGCGGCUGAGCAACACCGAUGUGGACGGUGGGGAGGAGCUGGAGGGCCAACCACUGGUCAAGCAUGGCGUACCCAUUCUUUUCAAUUUCAGGAGAGGUUGAUGGGUCAGCUCCAACAAGCGAUUUAAUCAGGAACUUGAACAUGCUUUGCUGGAGAGUGAAAAUGUAGCUUGAACUGCCUUUUUCUGAGACGUCACUGUCAACGUUUUCCCAAAGGAUAUCAAGGUUGGCUAGAAGUUCCGUGAGCCACACCUUGGAGCCUCGUUUCAAGAUGUCCAUUGCAAAAUUUUUUACCUUAGCAUGCUGAGGCUCAGAAGGAUCAAGAUAAGCGCCGGUCCUAAUAUUUCCGGUGAACUUAGUACUCGGCAUGAAAUCACCCACAAGAACGUUUUUCUUCUCGACGAUUUCCAUAUCAAAAAGAUGAGCAAAAGACUUGCAAUCAAGAACAGCCACAACGUUUGGAUUUACCCGUGAAAAGAAAGGAAAGGUUGGAGGCAUAUUUGUACGGAACACCGUCGAAUUGUACUUGGCAAUGCGUUUCCUGAAGAAGGUUUCAGGACCUUGAAACCAGAAGUAGUCUAGCCGAUCUGAGAUGGGUCCUAACAACGGCCAGCCAUAUGAUCCAGGGAUUGUACGGAGAGGAAGGGAAGGGGAUUGCGGAGAUUUAGUGGGAACAGUUUGUACAGGUGGCAGUGGCGGUGAUGAGGAGGAGGAGGAGGAGGAGGACAUGGCUGGGGAGGUGUUCAUCAUUUUGGUAAUCAUGGUGGCCAUGAUGGGGAGUGGGUGUUGAAGACGGUGGCGAUUUGUUGUGAAGUGAAUGGUUUUGUUAUUAUUAUUAUUAUUAAUUUUCUUUUGUGAGCAGCAGAAGUUAUAUGGGGAUAAGUUGAGGGACGGAGAACAAGUUAAGUAAAGUGAAGAUCUAAUGAAGGGUCCACUUCUGUAGAUGCAUUGUAAGAAAGCCCUCUCCGGUCUAUUAUUUGUGAGAAGGCAAAUUAUUGUGUACAUGGGGAACAUUAAAACACUGUGCUCUCUCUCAAAAAAAAAAAUUUCCUUAAUUUUUAAGAAUAUGGGACCAUCGAUUUAAA